Asparagus officinalis (garden asparagus) is the source of this 750-nucleotide long non-coding RNA. RefSeq lists it as uncharacterized. NCBI's taxonomy places the organism in Eukaryota, Viridiplantae, Streptophyta, Magnoliopsida, Asparagales, Asparagaceae. The record is from RefSeq and is a predicted model, not a curated record. The transcript has 2 exons.
UAGGUUUGGACUAAAUAAUUAUUUUCCUGUCAACGAUGAACCUAAACUCCACCUUCCAAGUUCUGGUGACAUCUAUAACAGAGCAUUUGGAAUGUAACCUCAGCCUGAUGUCACAAUUAGCCUGAUCUUUCAUGUACUCAAUUAUGUCCCUGCACAUGGAUAAUGCAUGCUUCUUUGGAUUAUUAUACAAUGUCUAAAUGGUUUGUGGUGGUUCAUGUACUGAAAUCUCCUGAGAGGUUCUGCUAUACAUGCGUGGACAAUGAGCAUAGUCAGGCUUCUCAUUAUUGACAGGGACAUAAUCUUGUUCGUGGGUGGUCAAGGGUGUGCUUUUGAACUACUAAAUCAGAGCGUUGCUUCGGUUCAGAACAGUUGCUCCCAUGUUUUCCAAGCGGAUGCCUGAGCUGAACUGGGGUUUGAUGUCUCUGAGAAAUUUUUGGAGAUCUGCUUGCUAGAAUUAAAAACUGGACAAUUGCUGAAGUUUCAAGGUGUUGACGUGGAAUUUUCCUUGUUUUAUAUAAUAAGAUACUAAGAGUACUUUGGUGAUGUUUGUAACGGGACUUGGCUUGUUAUCAGGCAGCUGUAUCUUUGUAGAUAAUAAAGAAAAGGAAAGCAUCAAGUAUUAUUUAUUUAUUUAUUACUGCUUAUGUUCCAACUUAACUAGCAUUUGCAAUGCUAGUUUCUGUAAUGUCGUGAGUAAAACCUUCUGUAAGUGCGUUAUUGAACUGGAGCUUAUCUGAGUUUUAGUAUGAA